This is a long non-coding RNA of Sinocyclocheilus rhinocerous, 538 nucleotides long. RefSeq lists it as uncharacterized. The transcript has 4 exons. The record is from RefSeq and is a predicted model, not a curated record. Lineage: Eukaryota; Metazoa; Chordata; Actinopteri; Cypriniformes; Cyprinidae.
ACUGUAAUAUGGAGCCAGAACAGACGCUUUCGCCAUUGGUCAGGAAGGCAUCGGGGGCGGUUUCAUCCGCUCGUCUUUGAUUCUGAUUGGUUCCCUGGUUGUCUCUCCCCACGCUUCUGAUAGCAGCGGUACGCGCUGAUUGGUCAGAUGGCGCAAAGGCAAACAGCGUGUUCUGAUCGCAGGCUUCACUUACUCAGACAUCUACAGUGAUGAUGAUGAGCGGUUUCCAUACAAUAUAACAGUAAGUUUGUGGGAAACAGAGGCAAAAUGAAGCCUAACAAGCACAAAGCAACACAUUCAGCUGAAAAGGAAUUUGGAGGUGCUCUUGGUGCCACCUGCAUCCCUGUGUUCCUGCCUCUGACGGUUCUGUACCUGCUGAGUGUGUGUCGGUCUCCAGCAGCCAGUGUCCUGCAGUGGCCUCCUCAUUUACCCCCCGCAGCACAGUUAUGGGACCCUUUGGCCGCGGUUCUGGUUGUAGGUUGGAUCACCUUGCAGAGUUUUCUCUAUCUACUGCCCAUAGGGAAGGUUUCUGAAGGAU